Molecule: long non-coding RNA, 2252 nt
Organism: Oncorhynchus masou masou (cherry salmon)
Lineage: Eukaryota; Metazoa; Chordata; Actinopteri; Salmoniformes; Salmonidae
Exons: 3
Source: RefSeq, a predicted model, not a curated record
GGAAACAGACAGAGACAACUUCUGAGUUCCCACAGCGAGUCUGUCCAUGGGUUUCCCAUACUGUAGAAUCAACCUACUCAGAUCUUUACGGACUUGAGCCCUAGGACCAUGCGUCAGGACUACCUGGCCUGAUGACUCCUUGCUGUCCCCAGUCCACCUGGCCGUGCUGCUGCUCCAGUUUCAACUGUUCUGCCUGCAGCUAUGGAAAUGACCUGAGCCCUAGGACCAUGCCUCAGGACUACCUGGCAUGAUGACUCCUUACUGUCCCCAGUCCACUUGGCCGUGCUGCUGCCCCAGUUUCAACUGUUCUGCCUGUGGCUAUGGAACCCUGACCUGUUCACCGGAUGUGCUACCUGUCCCAGACCUGCUACCUGUCCCAGACCUGCUACCUGUCCCAGACCUGCUGUUUUCAACUCUCUAGAGACGGCAGGAGUGGUAGAGAUACUCUGAAUUAUUGGCUAUGAAAAGCCAACUGACAUUUACUCCUGAGGUGCUGACCUGUUGCACCCUCGACAACUACUGUGAUUAUUAUUAUUUGACCCUGCUGGUCAUUUAUGAACAUUUGAACAUCUUGGCCAUGUUCUGUUAUAAUCUCCACCCGGCACAGCCAGAAGAGGACUGGCCACCCCUCAUAGCCUGGUUCCUCUCUAGGUUUCUUCCAACGUUCUGGCCUUUCUAGGGAGUUUUUCCUAGCCACCGUGCUUCUACACCUGCAUUGCUUGCCGUUUGGAGUUUUAGGCUGGGUUUCUGUACAGCACUUUGUGACCUAGCAGGACAAAUUCAGACUUAGUGUAAGGGGCCAGGAGAGAGCUUAGGGCAGGUAGGGUACCGGUCGGUGCUGAUGGUGGACGAUAACACCCAGCGACAGUCAAAAAAGAGCUAUUUGAAAGUUAAAUGCUUAAAACCAACAAAUCAAAUUGUUGGGGACAGACUUGGUGGAGACAACCGAGCACUGAAGGUGUUCCUUGGUAAAGAUUGCCACUCCCCCAUCUUUGGAAGAUCUGUCUUGUUGAAAAAGGUUAUAACCAGAAAGGUUAUCAUCAGUAUUCAAAAUAUUCUUUCUUAACCACGUCUUAGUAAUGACCAACACAUCUGGAUUGGAGCUGUGAACCCACACUUUCAAUUUUUAGGUAAUAAGCUUCUAGUGUUAACGUGCAGAAAUUACAGGCUUUUACGAGAGCAGAAAUCAGUGAAACAGGUAUCAAGAGGACAAGUCAGUAUGGGGUAUUGUGUGUCGAUUGCUGAGAUAAAAAUAAUAUUGAAUCCAUUUUAGAAUAAGGUAGUAACAUAAAAUAUUGUGGAAAAGUCAAGGGGUCUGAAUACUUUCUGAAGGCACUGUAGGUAAGGGUAAAGUGGGAUCCUAAAGCAAAUUGACUUCCUAAAUCUUUAUCAGAUUAUUACAAAUUUUGACUCCAAACACCCAGAAAAGGCUACUCUCCUUGAUGUUAUUCUCACAAAUAAUCCUGAUAGGUAUCAGUCUGGUGUUUUCUGUAAUGACCUUACUGAUCACUGUUUUACAGCCUGUGUUCGUAAUGGCUGCUCAGUGAAAUGACCUGUCCUGAUUUGUCAUAGACGCUUGCUAAAAGACUUUAAUGAGCAAGUCUUCCUUCAUGAACUAACCUCUGUAAAAUGGUAUAGAAUCAGCUUGAUCCCCUCCUUCGAAGACGCUUGGACCUUAUUUUUUAAUAUUUUCAAUGGUAUUGUUAACAAACAUGCCCUCAUAAAGAAAAUGAGAAUUAAAAACAAGUUCAGCCUCUGGUUCAACACUAAUCUUGAAGAGUUACUCCACCUCAUGAAUUGCAUUUGGCGACAGGCUCGGCACACGCAUACUCAGGCUGACUGGCUAUCGUUCAGGCAAAUGAGAAAUAAGUCCGAGGUGCUAAAUAAGCUCCAUAAACUAGACCCCAAAAAAUAUCUGGGUCAGAUGGUUUAGACCCUUUCUUCUUUAAUGUUGCUGCCCCUAUCAUCGCCAAGCCUAUCGCUGACCUUUUAGUCUCUCCUUUCUGGGGAGGUUCCCAUUGCUUGGAAGGCAGCCACAGUUCAUCCUUUAUUUAAAGGGGAAGAUCAAGCUGAUCCUAACUGUUAUAGGCCUAUUUCUAUUUUGCCCUGUUUAUCAAAAGUGUUGGAAAAACUUAAUAAUAAUCAACUGACUGGCUUUCUUGAUGUCUAUAGUAUUCUCUCGGGUAUUCAAUCUGGUAUCCGCUCAGGUUAUGGAUGUAUCACUGCAACAUUAAAGGUCCUCAAUGAUGUCA